Molecule: long non-coding RNA, 1775 nt
Organism: Pongo pygmaeus (Bornean orangutan)
Lineage: Eukaryota; Metazoa; Chordata; Mammalia; Primates; Hominidae
Exons: 3
Source: RefSeq, a predicted model, not a curated record
CGCGAGUUCCGGGUGGGCGUGGGCUCGGCGGACCCCGCACUCGGAGCGGCCGGCCGGCCCCACAGGCCCCGGGCAGAGAGGGGCUUAGCACCUGGGCCAGCAGCUGCUGUGCUCAAUUUCUCCCCGGGCCUUAGCUGCCUUCCCACGGCUCGGGGCUCGGGACCUGCAGCCCGCCAUGCCUGAGCCUCCCCGUCACCCUCCAUGGGCUCCUGUGCGGCCGCAGCCGAUGUGAAGAGCACUCAGUAUGAUGACCGGAGACACAGCUGUUGGAUGGAAAAAGUUUAUGUCAAUUAAAAUCCUGAAUUUCUCUGAUCUGGAAAGAAAAACUGCUAUGAACUCUUUAGAUGCCAACACAAGUGCUGAAGAGGAUGCUACAUGAGAGAGAUGGAUUCGUAUGUGGAAAAGCCUUCUAAGGAUAAAGUCUACCAUAUACUGACUUACUUUCAGAGGUAACAAGGGUUGGUGAGAUCUCAGUAGCAUCCUUCUCACCAGGAGGUCAGUCUCUUAAACUUCAAGUGGAAAAAAGAUGAGAUGAGGUGACUGUGCUGAAUUUGAAAUAUGUGCCCUAAUCCCAAUGUUAUUUUGUUGUUGCUGUUAUGUUUGUUUCAAAAAUAAUUACAAGGUAAUUGCCCUCUGAUUUCUGUUACCCACAGAACCUCAGCUCUCACCUUACCCCCAGCUUUAAUGAGGCUUCUUUUUGGUCAAUUCCAAUAAGAACUCUCUAAGUCACCUGGGCUGCUCUGAAAUCCACCUUACAGUGACUCAGGAAUGCAGUCAAUACAAUGGUAGAAAGUGGCCCUGGCAAGGAAAGACUUUAAAACACAUAGAACAAAUCAGCCCAGAGGCUCUGCCAGCAGUGCUACCCUCAACAAGUGGCAAUGUGGUGACCUUUAGGAAUCCCAUGUUUGGUUCCAACUUCUUUCCCUUUAUAAGGGAUUAAUCAAGACAUGGCUUCCAGCACUUUCAUUGGUAUUAACAUGUGAAGUUGGGAAGUCAGCUUGGAGGACCUUACUGCCAUUAGAAAUGGGCUCCAGCCUUCUAGGAAUGCCUCUGUCUUUCACCUACCUAAAGGAUCAGCAUUGGAGGAAACUUUCUUAAUUUGUAAUCACUCCCAGUGUAUUGGAACUCCCUGGGUAUAAACCCUAGCUUUACCAUUUGCUUGACUGUGGCAAAGUUAAUUAACCUCUUUGAGCUUCAUUUUCUUAAACAUGAGCUAUAUGGAGUCAUUAGAGUUCAUUGAGUUUACCCAUGUAAGAUUCUGAACAUUAGUGCCUGGUACAUAAAUGCUCAGUUAAGUUGGCUAUCAAUAUUGAUAUCAUGGCUACUAAAAUAUUAUAAAGCCCUUUAAGCUUUUCUAAUCCAUGUGUUCACUGCUAAUAACCUCAUCCUGAACAAGUGCAAAUCUAAAUUGAUGGUGAUACUCUUUCCACCCAUUCCCAAUUCUAACUUCUGACUUCUGCUACUUGACUACUCUUCCCACAGCAUUUUCACCUCUCGCCUUAUAUCUGUUACAUAACACCCAGCUCCUACUUCACAAUCUGAACAUAAGUUGGUCUCGUGGGUCAGCUCAUCCUCAGCCACCUUGGAUAAUAUCUCUCCUUUAUGCUACCCAGGGUUUCUUAGCUUUUCCACUCCAGGAGCUCCUUUGACACUGUGGCAAAGCCUAUGAAGCCAUUCUGAGAAUAUUUUAAAUGUGUAAAAAUACCCAGGAAUUUUAAAGGAAAUAAAUUCUAUUGGAUUACUGUUAUGUAUGUUAAAAUAAAGGUAUGACAUAG